This 274-nucleotide ribosomal RNA is filed under the name uncultured bacterium. RNAcentral describes it as "partial 16S ribosomal RNA". It matches the Rfam family "Bacterial small subunit ribosomal RNA", at positions 524 to 796 of the family's 1533-position model. The record is from RNAcentral.
UACGUAGGGUGCGAGCGUUGUCGGAAUUACUGGGCGUAAAGAGCUCGUAGGUGGUUUGUCGCGUCGUCUGUGAAAUUCCGGGGCUUAACUCCGGGCGUGCAGGCGAUACGGGCAUAACUUGAGUACUGUAGGGGAGACUGGAAUUCCUGGUGUAGCGGUGAAAUGCGCAGAUAUCAGGAGGAACACCGGUGGCGAAGGCGGGUCUCUGGGCAGUAACUGACGCUGGAGGAGCGAAAGCAUGGGUAGCGAACAGGAUUAGAUACCCCUGUAGUCC